GACGAACGCUGGCGGCAUGCCUAAUACAUGCAAGUCGAGCGAACAUUUAAAGGAGCUUGCUUCUUUAAGUGUUAGCGGCGGAUGGGUGAGUAACACGUGGGCAACCUGCCCUACAGAUGGGGAUAACUCCGGGAAACCGGGGCUAAUACCGAAUAAACAGUUUGUCUGCAUGGACAAACUCUGAAAGACGGUUUCGGCUGUCACUGUAGGAUGGGCCCGCGGCGCAUUAGCUAGUUGGUGGGAUAACGGCCUACCAAGGCGACGAUGCGUAGCCGACCUGAGAGGGUGAUCGGCCACACUGGGACUGAGACACGGCCCAGACUCCUACGGGUGGCAG
This 337-nucleotide ribosomal RNA is filed under the name uncultured Bacillota bacterium. RNAcentral's name for it is "bacterial SSU rRNA". It matches the Rfam family "Bacterial small subunit ribosomal RNA", at positions 28 to 351 of the family's 1533-position model. The record is from RNAcentral. Lineage: Bacteria; Bacillati; Bacillota.